CAACCAAUAGCUUUUUCUUCAUUGAAACAAUCGGUCUCUCUUACUCUGUGCAUAGAAAACGUCUCCGCCAUAACCAAAUUGAUGCAAGCUCAAAAUUUUAACCAAAUGAGAGAAUAAACCUACCCUAUGACUCGACUUGAUAUUCUAUAUAUGAGGCUAUCAACGAAAAUCACAGAAGACAACAACAGCAGCAACAAUUAAUUUCAUAUUUCUGGUUUAAACCCUAAGGCUUUGUUUGGAUUGAUGGAACCGGAUGGAGCGGAGCGGAAUGAGAUGGAAUAAAAUGAUAUUCCAUUGUUUGGAUAAUUUAAAAACGGAUGGAACGGAGCGGAAUAGAGUGGUAUGGAUUCCAUUCCAUUCCAUCACUUACCACCAUUUUUCUUACCCUCCGAUUUGGGCGGAAUGAACAACUUAUCUUGUUCCGUCCUAAAAUUUUCCAAACAAUGGAAUGGUAUCUUCGUUCCGCUCCGCUCCAUCCCACUCCGCUCCAUCCCACUCCGCUCCAUCCCACUCCGCUCCAUCCCACUCCGCUCCAUCCCACUCCGCUCCAUUGAUUUUAUGAUAUCCAAACAUAGCUAAAGCUUCAAUUUCAAAUUAAACAAUCAUGGAGCACGGUUUCGUACAAUUAGCAAGGGGUUUCAAUUCAGAAGAACAAGUAGAGUAUGAUGGUAACGAGAAUUCGAGAUAAAAAAAAAAAACUCACAAGGGAGCAGGUCCACUGGUUUUCCGAUGCGGCGACGGCGAAGAGGUUCAGAUAGGUUUGAUUUUCGUCCUCCCUUCCUCUGUUACUCUUCUUCCACCUUUCUUCCUCUGAAUUUCGCAAGAGAUAGAUUCGUUGUGUAGUCAAAAGGCCGUUGGCUGUUGCGGUUUGGUAUCGAGGAUACUGUUGGUGCGUUGCUGUGCUUCUUAUUGUUCUAUUCUCUGAUUUCCGCGGUGGUGCGCAAGCAGUCGGUGAUGAGAGGCUGAGGUAUCGGCGUCGCGCGAUCAGGAUCAGUGUAAGGCUCAUGGACCUUGUCUUCUUUCUAUCUCAAUUCAAUUCUGUGAAUCUUGUGUCUUCUGACUCUUAAGGGCCUGCAAGCACAGUUGGAAGAACAACAAUGAGAACGAAUAAAAAGGUGAGAAAAAACUAUACCAUCGGCUGGGCGGUGAUUCGACUCCGUGAAACUAUAGGUUCAGUGGCCGUUGGUUUCGUGAUGAUGUUGUUCCCAAUUGUGAAUCGGAUAUGAGGAAUGUUAAAUUGCUGCUGCGUUGCAGCUGUUGAACCUGGUUUUGAGAAUUUCCUAAGCCUGUCGCAUGAUCCUUCCUAUGCUGUUAUUUUUAAUUAUUUCCUUCUAAUCCUUGUUCCUGUAAAACAAAACACAACACACAAGAAAAACAAAUGGUAAUAGUGGUAUUAAAUAAAUGUUGAUUCCUGUC
Long non-coding RNA from Vicia villosa (hairy vetch), 1416 nucleotides. RefSeq lists it as uncharacterized. The record is from RefSeq and is a predicted model, not a curated record. NCBI's taxonomy places the organism in Eukaryota, Viridiplantae, Streptophyta, Magnoliopsida, Fabales, Fabaceae. The transcript is spliced from 2 exons.